UGGGGAAUAUUGGACAAUGGGCGAAAGCCUGAUCCAGCCAUGCCGCGUGUGUGAAGAAGGUCUUCGGAUUGUAAAGCACUUUAAGUUGGGAGGAAGGGCAGUAAGCGAAUACCUUGCUGUUGUGACGUUACCGACAGAAUAAGCACCGGCUAACUCUGUGCCAGCAGCCGCGGUAAUACAGAGGGUGCAAGCGUUAAUCGGAAUUACUGGGCGUAAAGCGCGCGUAGGUGGUUCGUUAAGUUGAAUGUGAAAGCCCCGGGCUCAACCUGGGAACUGCAUCCAAAACUGGCGAGCUAGAGUAGGGCAGAGGGUGGUGGAAUUUCCUGUGUAGCGGUGAAAUGCGUAGAGAUCUGGAGGAAUACCGAUGGCGAAGGCAGCCAUCUGGCCUAACACUGACGCUGAGGUACGAAAGCAUGGGGAGCAAACAGG
RNAcentral lists this ribosomal RNA (429 nucleotides) under Pseudomonadota bacterium. RNAcentral describes it as "Proteobacteria bacterium partial 16S ribosomal RNA". It matches the Rfam family "Bacterial small subunit ribosomal RNA", at positions 355 to 776 of the family's 1533-position model. The record is from RNAcentral. Lineage: Bacteria; Pseudomonadati; Pseudomonadota.